GACUGCCUACGGGAGGCAGCAGUGAGGAAUAUUGGUCAAUGGGCGCGAGCCUGAACCAGCCAAGUAGCGUGAAGGAUGACUGCCCUACGGGUUGUAAACUUCUUUUAUAAAGGAAUAAAGUGAGGCACGUGUGCCUUUUUGUAUGUACUUUAUGAAUAAGGAUCGGCUAACUCCGUGCCAGCAGCCGCGGUAAUACGGAGGAUCCGAGCGUUAUCCGGAUUUAUUGGGUUUAACGUGAGCGUAGAUGGGUUGUUAAGUCAGUUGUGAAAGUUUGCGGCUCAACUGUAAAAUUGCAAUUG
Molecule: ribosomal RNA, 299 nt
Filed under: uncultured bacterium
Lineage: Bacteria
Description: partial 16S ribosomal RNA
Rfam family: Bacterial small subunit ribosomal RNA
Source: RNAcentral